GAAUAGGGGAGCCGGAGGGAAACCGAGUCUUAACCGGGCGUUAAGUUGCAGGGUAUAGACCCGAAACCCGGUGAUCUAGCCAUGGGCAGGUUGAAGGUUGGGUAACACUAACUGGAGGACCGAACCGACUAAUGUUGAAAAAUUAGCGGAUGACCUGUGGCUGGGGGUGAAAGGCCAAUCAAACCGGGAGAUAGCUGGUUCUCCCCGAAAGCUAUUUAGGUAGCGCCUCGUGAAUUCAUCUCCGGGGGUAGAGCACUGUUUCGGCUAGGGGGCCAUCCCGGCUUACCAACCCGAUGCAAACUGCGAAUACCGGAGAAUGUUAUCACGGGAGACACACGGCGGGUGCUAACGUCCGUCGUGAAGAGGGAAACAACCCAGACCGCCAGCUAAGGUCCCAAAGUCAUGGUUAAGUGGGAAACGAUGUGGGAAGGCCCAGACAGCCAGGAUGUUGGCUUAGAAGCAGCCAUCAUUUAAAGAAAGCGUAAUAGCUCACUGGUCGAGUCGGCCUGCGCGGAAGAUGUAACGGGGCUAAACCAUGCACCGAAGCUGCGGCAGCGACGCUUAUGCGUUGUUGGGUAGGGGAGCGUUCUGUAAGCCUGUGAAGGUGUGUCGUGAGGC
RNAcentral lists this ribosomal RNA (618 nucleotides) under Salmonella enterica. RNAcentral's name for it is "partial 23S ribosomal RNA". It matches the Rfam family "Bacterial large subunit ribosomal RNA", at positions 655 to 1269 of the family's 2925-position model. The record is from RNAcentral. Lineage: Bacteria; Pseudomonadati; Pseudomonadota; Gammaproteobacteria; Enterobacterales; Enterobacteriaceae.